Non-coding RNA from Lyophyllum atratum, 99 nucleotides. The record is from the annotation of a GenBank genome assembly. Lineage: Eukaryota; Fungi; Basidiomycota; Agaricomycetes; Agaricales; Lyophyllaceae.
ACACUGAUGGUGAAGUGGUUAUCAUGCUUGCCUUCCAUGAUCGCCAUGUAUGGCAUGAGAUUAUAGCAAGCGGCAGGGGUUCGAUUCCCCUUCAGUGUA